Molecule: ribosomal RNA, 235 nt
Filed under: uncultured Undibacterium sp.
Lineage: Bacteria; Pseudomonadati; Pseudomonadota; Betaproteobacteria; Burkholderiales; Oxalobacteraceae
Description: partial 16S ribosomal RNA
Rfam family: Bacterial small subunit ribosomal RNA
Source: RNAcentral
GCGUUAAUCGAAAUUACUGGGCGUAAAGCGUCCGCAGGCGGUUUUAUAAGUCUGAUGUGAAAUCGCCGGGCUCAACCUGGGAACUGCAUUGGAGACUGUAAGGCUAGAGUGUGUCAGAGGGCGGUAGAAUUCCACGUGUAGCAGUGAAAUGCGUAGAUAUGUGGACGAAUACCGAUGGCGAAGGCAGCCCCCUGGGAUAACACUGACGCUCAUGCAGGAAAGCGUGGGGAGCAAA